Daphnia pulicaria is the source of this 1439-nucleotide long non-coding RNA. RefSeq lists it as uncharacterized. The record is from RefSeq and is a predicted model, not a curated record. Lineage: Eukaryota; Metazoa; Arthropoda; Branchiopoda; Diplostraca; Daphniidae. The transcript has 4 exons.
GAAGUGAAGCCUUGGAGCUGUUGAUGGCCGGAAGCCUGUAACUAUACCAACACGAGGUCUCAAAAAGAACUAUGCAAGCUUCCACGGCAGUUGCAGACCCCCCAAGAUCUCCUGGUCGUUCCUUGAGCCCGAUUAAAAGCAAGUCCGUGACUAUCAUCAGAUAGAUCAUCAAGGAUCGCAUGGACUUUGCUUGAGACCAGAUAAUUGAGACCCGGAUUACAGAGAGACGUUACCAAUGACUUCUGGAGUUUAUUACCAACAUCGUCAAGAUUACCCAUUUAUUUAUUAGUGGAGUUCAACCUGCAGACGGGCCGGCCAGUUUGCAUGUCCUUCACGCUUGAAGGUCACGGGGAUCAUUUCGUAAAAUUGUCAUGCGGUGGUGUAGAGGUUGGACCCAUCCCCAGCAACGUCAACCUGCAGAAGGAAAAAACAUUUUCCUUCACUUUCGAAGGUCACGGAGAUCAUUACGUAAAAUGUGUCAUGUGGUGUAGAGGUUGGGUGAGAACGGGACGUGUCGCAUCAUUAUCAGACAGAUACAAUAGCCGCAAGGCUUAAGAGGUGAAGAGAUGAAAAAAAAAUCGUAUAAAAGGAGAGAAAAAAACAAAAAAGGCGGUGGAAAAUCAGUCGAGUGAGGAUCUCCGACACGGCAACAACUGCAGUGCAAUAUUUGUCACCAACUGUCUCCUACAUCGUAAAACCAAUUCGCAAUCAUGGAUAAGCGUGGUGUCGUGCUGCUGUUGGGUGUUGUUUCGUUGAUGGCUGGGUUGACCACUGGUGUACUGAUAUCUCCUGGGUAUGGUGAAUACCUAACCACAACGCCGCCGCCUCCCACAUAACAAAAUACGCAACAACCGGCACUAUACCACCAAGGCUCCAGAAAAUUCCCAUCAACUUAUAUAGUGCCCCGAGCCACUACACCGAAUUUCUGAAGUAUAAGUCUGCCUCGAGUUACACCACCAAAGAGCUAGAGUACAACAUCGAGGCUCCCAAGUAUUACACAACUAAGGCACCGGAAUACUACACGACUACAUAUGCUGCCCCUGCUUACUACACCAAGGCCCCUAAUUACUACACUACAACCUACGCUGCCCUAAGCUACUAAACCAACACCCCGAAGUAUUAUUCCUAAUUACUACAAUACCGAAGCACCGAAGUAUUAUUCUGCGUCGAAGGGGUCGUUAAAAAAAAGGAAGUUGUGUAAAAGGGAGAGAAAAGGUGGUACUACGCCGACGCCCCCAAGUACUACACCACUAAGGCAUCGGAGUAUGCUACCAUAACUUACGCUUCGCCCAGCUACUACACCGAUGCCCCGAAUUAUUACUUUGCCUCGAGCUACACCACCAACACAGCGGAGUACUACACAACUACGUAUGCUGCCCUAUCUGACUACACUGAGGCUCCCUAGCUACUACACCGAGGCUCCAGCUACUACACCGAGG